AGUCAAAUAUCUCACUAGCACUGUCGUUCGAAUAAAUAUUCGCAAUUUUACACAUGGAGGUUUGUCUGUAUUAUGACAACAAUGAGCACAUUUAUUUUACACAAAUGUGGUCUUAUCGGUUAGGCUUCCGAUAAAAUAAAGGCAAAUAAACCACAAAUCUACCUCAAGUAGACUUGUUACCUGACUAAAUACUUUGAUUUGCAAUUUUUUUAAGCAUUCACUUUCACAACUCCGUAAAAUUGCACUAAACAAGUGUCGCAUACACGUCUAAAUUUAGACAAUAAAAAGUCAGAUGACAACAAAAAAUAGACUUCUCGCCAGGUCAACCACAAAACAUCAGAAUUAUUUCCGAUUCUUUUCGGUUUUGGUACUUUUGCCAAAAAAAAGAAAACAAUCUUUCAACUUACUAUGUUUCUCUGUAAAUUGUAAUUGUAAAAUCAGUUGAGUCCUGAGGAUUAAAAAAAAA
Long non-coding RNA from Hippocampus comes (tiger tail seahorse), 466 nucleotides. RefSeq lists it as uncharacterized. Lineage: Eukaryota; Metazoa; Chordata; Actinopteri; Syngnathiformes; Syngnathidae. The transcript is spliced from 2 exons. The record is from RefSeq and is a predicted model, not a curated record.